RNAcentral lists this long non-coding RNA (284 nucleotides) under Lathyrus oleraceus (garden pea). RNAcentral describes it as "Pisum sativum (pea) long non-coding RNA (PSAT_LNC029424)". Lineage: Eukaryota; Viridiplantae; Streptophyta; Magnoliopsida; Fabales; Fabaceae. The record is from RNAcentral.
UGUCACUCAUUCGGGGUUCAUUUGUGAUGAUGGUUAUCAUCUUUGGGGUUCAUUUGUGAUGGUUGUCACUCACUUGGAGUUCAUCUUUGGGGUUCAUCUCUGAGUAUUUGAUUGCUUUGUUGUGGUUCGCACGGAGAACCUUUUUCUUUGGUGUUCGCUGGUUAGCGUUUGUUUAAUUGUUUGGAGUCGGAUGUAAGUCCAUGUAUUGGCAUUCUGUUUCCUUGUUUGUGGUUUUUGUUAGGAGUCGGAUAUAAGUCCAUGUAUUGGCAUUCUGUUUCCUUGUU